AGGACGAACGCUGGCGGCGUGCCUAACACAUGCAAGUCGUACGGGCUUGGGGGGCAACUCUCAAGUCAGUGGCGAACGGGUGCGUAACACGUGAGCAACUUGCCCUAUGGUGGGGGAUAGCCGGCCCAACGGCCCGGGUAAUACCGCAUAUGGCGCUGAGGUCACAUGGCCUUAGUGGGAAAGCGGCCGCAAGGUCGCGCCAAAGGUGGGGCUCGCGGCGUAUCAGCUAGUUGGCGGGUAACGGCCCACCAAGGCUACGACGCGUAGCUGGUCUGAGAGGAUGGCCAGCC
Molecule: ribosomal RNA, 290 nt
Filed under: uncultured soil bacterium
Lineage: Bacteria
Description: partial 16S ribosomal RNA
Rfam family: Bacterial small subunit ribosomal RNA
Source: RNAcentral